UGGGGAAUAUUGCGCAAUGGGGGCAACCCUGACGCAGCCAUGCCGCGUGGAUGAAGAAGGCCUUCGGGUUGUAAAGUCCUUUCGACGGGGAAGAUGAUGACGGUACCCGUAGAAGAAGCCCCGGCUAACUUCGUGCCAGCAGCCGCGGUAAUACGAAGGGGGCAAGCGUUGUUCGGAAUUACUGGGCGUAAAGGGCGUGUAGGCGGACCGAUCAGUCAGGGGUGAAAGCCAUGGGCUCAACCUGUGAACUGCCUUUGAUACUGUCGGUCUAGAGUCCGUGAGAGGAUAGCGGAAUACCCAGUGUAGAGGUGAAAUUCGUAGAUAUUGGGUAGAACACCAGUGGCGAAGGCGGCUAUCUGGCACGGAACUGACGCUGAGGCGCGAAAGCGUGGGGAGCAAACAGGAUUAGAUACCCCCGUAGUCC
RNAcentral lists this ribosomal RNA (424 nucleotides) under uncultured prokaryote. RNAcentral's name for it is "bacterial SSU rRNA". It matches the Rfam family "Bacterial small subunit ribosomal RNA", at positions 355 to 796 of the family's 1533-position model. The record is from RNAcentral.